UGAGUUACAGCAAGCCUCCUGCCCUGGC
RNAcentral lists this non-coding RNA (28 nucleotides) under Mus musculus (house mouse). Lineage: Eukaryota; Metazoa; Chordata; Mammalia; Rodentia; Muridae. The record is from RNAcentral.